Molecule: long non-coding RNA, 408 nt
Filed under: Musa acuminata (dwarf banana)
Lineage: Eukaryota; Viridiplantae; Streptophyta; Magnoliopsida; Zingiberales; Musaceae
Description: long non-coding RNA (MACU_LNC000350)
Source: RNAcentral
GAAUACUCGAAGUUGCAGACUCCUGGAGUAUUGGCAUAAUGGAGCGGGCUCGACCAUCGGUACCGGAACCGCACCUCAUCCGCCCACGAGCACACUGCCGCCAGAUCCCCUCCGGCAGACUCCGGCAGAAGGUCUAACACCGCUGCUGACGCUUUCUUCGUGAGAUAUUUCUGUCACAAUACAAGAUUUCUUUGAUCUGUGGUUUAUGAACUCAAGAGAUCAGUAAAAAUCAAUGUAAGAUUUCAUGUCACCUCUGCUAUUUUGCAGACCAUGUAGUGCCCCUCCUUCCCCCAGGCCUGCGCGGUUGGAGCUCCAGCUACUAGCAGAAGAAAGAAGACGCGGAGGAAGAGUAAGAAACCCAUCUUUCUUUCUUCUGCACGUCUCCCGCUUCGGUUUCCCUUCCCCCCC